AUUGAACGCUGGCGGCAGGCCUAACACAUGCAAGUCGGACGGUAGCACAGAGGAGCUUGCUCCUCGGGUGACGAGUGGCGGACGGGUGAGUAAUGUCUGGGGAUCUGCCCGAUAGAGGGGGAUAACCACUGGAAACGGUGGCUAAUACCGCAUAACGACGCAAGACCAAAGAGGGGGACCUUCGGGCCUCUCACUAUCGGAUGAACCCAGAUGGGAUUAGCUAGUAGGCGGGGUGACGGCCCACCUAGGCGACGAUCCCUAGCUGGUCUGAGAGGAUGACCAGCCACACUGGAACUGAGACACGGUCCAGACUCCUACGGGAGGCAGCAGUGGGGAAUAUUGCACAAUGGGCGCAAGCCUGAUGCAGCCAUGCCGCGUGUAUGAAGAAGGCCUUCGGGUUGUAAAGUACUUUCAGCGGGGAGGAAGGCGAUGUGGUUAAUAACCGCGUCGAUUGACGUUACCCGCAGAAGAAGCACCGGCUAACUCCGUGCCAGCCGCCGCGGUAA
This 506-nucleotide ribosomal RNA is filed under the name uncultured bacterium. RNAcentral describes it as "partial 16S ribosomal RNA". It matches the Rfam family "Bacterial small subunit ribosomal RNA", at positions 29 to 523 of the family's 1533-position model. The record is from RNAcentral.